RNAcentral lists this ribosomal RNA (253 nucleotides) under uncultured bacterium. RNAcentral's name for it is "partial 16S ribosomal RNA". It matches the Rfam family "Bacterial small subunit ribosomal RNA", at positions 524 to 776 of the family's 1533-position model. The record is from RNAcentral.
UACAGAGGGCCCGAGCGUUGUUCGGAUUCACUGGGCGUAAAGGGUGCGUAGGCGGCCUGAAAAGUUUGAUGUGAAAGCUCAGGGCUUAACCCUGAAAUGGCAUUGAAUACUGUCGGGCUGGAGGUUUGGAGGGGGGACUGGAAUUCUUGGUGUAGCAGUGAAAUGCGUAGAUAUCAAGAGGAACACCAGUGGCGAAGGCGAGUCCCUGGACAACACCUGACACUGAGGCACGAAAGCUAGGGGAGCAAACAGG